GAACCAGUACCGUGAGGGAAAGGCGAAAAGAACCCCGGCGAGGGGAGUGAAAAAGAACCUGAAACCGUGUACGUACAAGCAGUGGGAGCCCCACCACUAAGCCAGUGGUGAACUCCACAUCCGCAUCCUUUGCUGAGGAUACGGUUAACGGAGCGAAAGCGACGUUCAACCGCAAAACAAGCAGAGGGGGCUUAGUGGUGGGGUGACUGCGUACCUUUUGUAUAAUGGGUCAGCGACUUAUAUUCUGUAGCAAGGUUAACCGAAUAGGGGAGCCGGAGGGAAACCGAGUCUUAAUUGGGCGUUAAGUUGCAGGGUAUAGACCCGAAACCCGGUGAUCUAGCCAUGGGC
Molecule: ribosomal RNA, 348 nt
Filed under: Salmonella enterica subsp. enterica serovar Typhimurium
Lineage: Bacteria; Pseudomonadati; Pseudomonadota; Gammaproteobacteria; Enterobacterales; Enterobacteriaceae
Description: bacterial LSU rRNA
Rfam family: Bacterial large subunit ribosomal RNA
Source: RNAcentral